Molecule: transfer RNA, 111 nt
Filed under: Pleuronectes platessa (European plaice)
Lineage: Eukaryota; Metazoa; Chordata; Actinopteri; Pleuronectiformes; Pleuronectidae
Rfam family: tRNA
About the family: Transfer RNA (tRNA) molecules are approximately 80 nucleotides in length. Their secondary structure includes four short double-helical elements and three loops (D, anti-codon, and T loops). Further hydrogen bonds mediate the characteristic L-shaped molecular structure. tRNAs have two regions of fundamental functional importance: the anti-codon, which is responsible for specific mRNA codon recognition, and the 3' end, to which the tRNAs corresponding amino acid is attached (by aminoacyl-tRNA synthetases). tRNAs cope with the degeneracy of the genetic code in two manners: having more than one tRNA (with a specific anti-codon) for a particular amino acid; and 'wobble' base-pairing, i.e. permitting non-standard base-pairing at the 3rd anti-codon position.
Source: Rfam by way of RNAcentral
GUCAGGAUGGGCCGAGCGGUCUAAGGCGCCAGACUCAAGACUGACUCCUUCCUUGUCAAAGGGAUUUCUGGUCUCCGAAUGGAGGCGUGGGUUCAAAUCCCACUUCUGACA